AACGCUGGCGGCAUGCCUCAUACAUGCAAGUCGAACGAAAUCUUCGGAUUUAGUGGCGCACGGGUGAGUACAUGUGGGAAUCUACCUGAAGGUUCGGAAUAACUGCGGGAAACUGUAGCUAAUACCGGAUGUGUCUGCAAAGAGAAAGAUUUAUCGCCUUCAGAUGAGCCCGCACUAGAUUAGCUAGUUGGUGAGGUAACUGCUCCACCAAGGCUACGAUCUAUAGCUGAUUUGAGAGGAUGAUCAGCCACACUGGGACUGAGACACGGCCCAGACUCCUACGGGAGGCAGCAGUAGGGAAUAUUGGACAAUGGGGGAAACCCUGAUCCAGCAAUGCCGCGUGAGUGAAGAAGGCCCUCGGGUUGUAAAACUCUUUCAUCAACGAUGAUAAUGACAUUAAUUGAAGAAGAAGCUCCGGCUAA
RNAcentral lists this ribosomal RNA (422 nucleotides) under uncultured Alphaproteobacteria bacterium. RNAcentral describes it as "bacterial SSU rRNA". It matches the Rfam family "Bacterial small subunit ribosomal RNA", at positions 32 to 500 of the family's 1533-position model. Lineage: Bacteria; Pseudomonadati; Pseudomonadota; Alphaproteobacteria. The record is from RNAcentral.